GCCUGAGUCGCAGCUGAUCAGCCAUGCCGCGUGCAGGAUGAAGGCCUUCGGGUUGUAAACUGCUUUUGUACGGAACGAAAAGCCUCUUUCUAAUAAAGAGGGGUCAUGACGGUACCGUAAGAAUAAGCACCGGCUAACUACGUGCCAGCAGCCGCGGUAAUUA
Molecule: ribosomal RNA, 163 nt
Filed under: uncultured bacterium
Lineage: Bacteria
Description: partial 16S ribosomal RNA
Rfam family: Bacterial small subunit ribosomal RNA
Source: RNAcentral